ACUGACCUGAGCAGCUUUCCAAUUACAUCAAUGAUGUAUGUCCACUAUAUCUCCACUACAUUAGUAUCAUGAGAAAAGAGCUUGGUGCAUUAUUAGAAGCUGUUUUUUGGAUCUUGUACAAUGCCAGCUCCUUCACUUGCGUCUUCUAACAUUGUUGCUCUUCUGUGCUGAUGGCAUGCUUCUGUUAAGACCUAACUGCCAUGAUCAAAUUAUCCUGCUUAGAUACCUUCCUAAAAGAAUUGGUCAUGUUCACAGUCAGGGUGGCAGUCAUUAUUUGGCAUUUAUAUGUACAUUGGUAUCUUAUGGAUACACUGGGGCCACAGUCCUGAGGGGCCCUUCGACCAUGGGGAUUUAUAAAGCAUUGUAUACACAUGGCUUCUACCUCUUGGUGGUGUCUUUAUAUUAUGGGGGUAUUUUGGAUAGUACCUUUUCCCAGAAUUAAGCAAUAGGAUGGACAAGGACACCAUUAUAGCUGUCAUGUAAACAGCUGUCACACCCAUGUUAAAUCUCUUCAUUUGUAAUCUAAGAAAUAGGGAUACAAAAGAAGCACUAGGGAUACUCUUGUCAAGUAAGAGGUUUUAC
RNAcentral lists this long non-coding RNA (582 nucleotides) under Mus musculus (house mouse). RNAcentral describes it as "long non-coding RNA chr2:36844517-36845099". Lineage: Eukaryota; Metazoa; Chordata; Mammalia; Rodentia; Muridae. The record is from RNAcentral.